UACGUAGGUGACAAGCGUUGUCCGGAUUUACUGGGCGUAAAGAGCGCGCAGGCGGUCGUUCAAGUCGAGUGUGAAAGCCCCCGGCUCAACUGGGGAGGGUCACUCGAUACUGAUCGACUUGAAGGCAGGAGAGGGAAGCGGAAUUCCCGGUGUAGUGGUGAAAUGCGUAGAUAUCGGGAGGAACACCAGUGGCGCAAGCGGCGGCCUGGGUAUGACCUGACACUGAGCCACGACGGCGUGGGGAGCAAACGGG
Molecule: ribosomal RNA, 253 nt
Filed under: uncultured bacterium
Lineage: Bacteria
Description: partial 16S ribosomal RNA
Rfam family: Bacterial small subunit ribosomal RNA
Source: RNAcentral